This is an RNA transcript of Lactuca sativa (garden lettuce), 874 nucleotides long. RefSeq lists it as uncharacterized. NCBI's taxonomy places the organism in Eukaryota, Viridiplantae, Streptophyta, Magnoliopsida, Asterales, Asteraceae. The record is from RefSeq and is a predicted model, not a curated record.
UACGAAACAAACACAUAUCUCAUCUUCAUCUUCAGAUCUCUUCCCCAACUUCAAAACCUCCCACAGUAAUGAUCUCGUGGGGGAUUUUUCCCCCAAAACAGCCGAUUCCCUGUUACUUUAUAUAACUAGAACUUAACCUAUUCAUAUUUACUACUUUUCCUCCUCAAACAAAAACAAAAGUGUGGGAAAAUUAGAGCGUGAGAGGGGAGGCCGCCAUUGCUGAAGAGAUCUCGACCUUGGGGAGAGAAAUAACAACUAUCUCUCUUUGUUUUUUGUUUCCUAUCAGCUGAUUUAUGUUUUGUUGUAUGUAUGCGUGUAAAAUCAGUAUUCCAGCCGACCCAGGCGAGUCAAAGAUGUUGCUCACCAAGAUGUUCCGAGUCCUCACCAAGACGCUCGAGACCGCAAAUUGUCCACACAUGCUUUUUAAUGACAUACCUGGAACCGGCAAAACUACCACUGCCCUCGCCAUUGUUAAGCAGCACUAUAUAUUUGAACUUUUUUUUUUGUUUGUUUUAGUUUCUUUCUGGUAAUUUUCUUGUUAGCUAGUUUGACUGAUGAACAUUAGUAAAAGAAUGUCAUGAAAAAAUCCGCCCUAAAUUUAAUAAGAUCUGCUUGGGAAUUUUAGGUAUUGUUAAUUGUCAUUUAGUGCUGUUUAUUUGGUUUUACAGUCAGGAACUGUACAAAUGCAGGGUUCUUGAGCUGAAUGAUAGUUAUGAGUGUGGAAUCAGUGUAUACAAUAUCUAAAAUUAAGAAUUUUGUUGCAGUUGCUGUUGGUUCUGGGCAUCAAGGGUAUACAAGGUGUUAUGGUUAUCCUUGCCCACCUUUUAAGAUUAUCAUCCUUGAUGAUGCAAAUUCAAUGACUGAAGAUGCACAG